GAUGAACGCUAGCUACAGGCUUAACACAUGCAAGUCGAGGGGAAACGGCAUUAAGUGCUUGCACUUUUUGGACGUCGACCGGCGCACGGGUGAGUAACGCGUAUCCAACCUUCCCAUGAGUAAGCGACAACCUGCCGAAAGGCAGACUAAUACCUUAUGGUCUUCACUUACGGCAUCAGAUGUGAAGGAAAGAUUUAUCGGUUAUGGAUGGGGAUGCGUCUGAUUAGCUUGUUGGCGGGGUAACGGCUCACCAAGGCAACGAUCAGUAGGGGUUCUGAGAGGAAGGUACCCCACAUUGGAACCGAGGCACAGACCACACUCGUACGGGACGCAGGAGUGAGGUAUGUUAGUCAAGGAGCGAGGGCCUAGACCAGCCGAGUAGGGUGCAGGAUGACGGCCCUCUGGAUUGUAAGCUGCUUUUGUAUGACGAUAGUGUAAAUAACGUGUGAUUGUUUGAAGGUACCAAACGAAUAAGGACCGGCUAAUUCCGUG
This 492-nucleotide ribosomal RNA is filed under the name uncultured bacterium. Its description in RNAcentral is "partial 16S ribosomal RNA". It matches the Rfam family "Bacterial small subunit ribosomal RNA", at positions 28 to 507 of the family's 1533-position model. The record is from RNAcentral.